AAGAGGUCACACCCGUUCCCAUACCGAACACGGAAGUUAAGCUCUUUAGCGCCAAUGGUAGUUGGGACUUUGUCCCUGUGAGAGUAGGACGUUGCCAGGC
Molecule: ribosomal RNA, 100 nt
Filed under: Priestia megaterium
Lineage: Bacteria; Bacillati; Bacillota; Bacilli; Caryophanales; Bacillaceae
Also listed under: 3 other names
Source: RNAcentral